RNAcentral lists this ribosomal RNA (1096 nucleotides) under Candidatus Phytoplasma solani. It matches the Rfam family "Bacterial small subunit ribosomal RNA", at positions 201 to 1300 of the family's 1533-position model. The record is from RNAcentral. Lineage: Bacteria; Bacillati; Mycoplasmatota; Mollicutes; Acholeplasmatales; Acholeplasmataceae.
UUAAAAGACCUAGCAAUAGGUAUGCUUAGGGAAGAGCUUGCGUCACAUUAGUUAGUUGGUGGGGUAAUGGCCUACCAGGACGAUGAUGUGUAGCCGGGCUGAGAGGUCGAACGGCCACAUUGGGACUGAGACACGGCCCAAACUCCUACGGGAGGCAGCAGUAAGGAAUUUUCGGCAAUGGAGGAAACUCUGACCGAGCAAUGCCGCGUGAACGAUGAAGUAUUUUGGUACGUAAAGUUCUUUUAUUAGGGAAGAAAAGAUGGUGGAAAAACCAUUAUGACGGUACCUAAUGAAUAAGCCCCGGCUAACUAUGUGCCAGCAGCCGCGGUAAUACAUAGGGGGCAAGCGUUAUCCGGAAUUAUUGGGCGUAAAGGGUGCGUAGGCGGUUAAAUAAGUUUAUGGUCUAAGUGCAACGCUCAACGCUGUGAUGCUAUAAAAACUGUUUAGCUAGAGUUGGAUAGAGGCAAGUGGAAUUCCGUGUGUAGUGGUAAAAUGGSUAAAUAUACGGAGGAACACCAGAAGCGAAGGCGGCUUGCUGGGUCUUAACUGACGCUGAGGCACGAAAGCGUGGGGAGCAAACAGGAUUAGAUACCCUGGUAGUCCACGCCCUAAACGGUGAGUACUAAACGUUGGAUAAAACCAGUGUUGAAGUUAACACAUUAAGUACUCCGCCUGAGUAGUACGUACGCAAGUAUGAAACUUAAAGGAAUUGACGGGACUCCGCACAAGCGGUGGAUCAUGUUGUUUAAUUCGAAGGUACCCGAAAAACCUCACCAGGUCUUGACAUGCUUUUGCAAAGCUGUAGAAAUACAGUGGAGGUUAUCAGAAGCACAGGUGGUGCAUGGUUGUCGUCAGCUCGUGUCGUGAGAUGUUGGGUUAAGUCCCGCAACGAGCGCAACCCUUGUUGUCAAUUGCCAUCAUUAAGUUGGGGACUUUAGCAAGACUGCCAAUGAUAAAUUGGAGGAAGGUGGGGACGACGUCAAAUCAUCAUGCCCCUUAUGACCUGGGCUACAAACGUGAUACAAUGGCUGUUACAAAGGGUAGCUAAAGCGUAAGCUUCUGGCGAAUCUCAAAAAAACAGUCUCAGUUCGGAUUG